UUCGAUAAAUGUGCAUACGCUAGGUCUAAUAACAUCUAAUUUAACAAUUAUCUCUACUUCAAUGACGUCACAGCGCCGAGCACGUGUUAAAAAAAUCGAGAAAAUUUAUAAUUGCAGCGUCUCGGAUUAAGUUCGGGCGUGAAAUCAGUGAAAUGGCGUUUUUGAUAGAAAUAUUAAUAAAAUUCACUCACCAGAAAGUCCGACAAACUCCAUAAACGAAUGUGUCCAUAAAUACAGUUGUUGCGCCUGCGCCCUUUGCCGUGUUUUUGCGACGUUGUUUCAUUUCACUUAAACUCAAAAAUAUUUAAAUAUAUUUUAUGAAAUUUACAUUUAAACUUAAUAAUAUGUAAUUUAUAUCAUACAUAUGCAUUUGUUAAUACGUUUAUUUGAUA
Molecule: long non-coding RNA, 392 nt
Organism: Dalotia coriaria
Lineage: Eukaryota; Metazoa; Arthropoda; Insecta; Coleoptera; Staphylinidae
Exons: 2
Source: RefSeq, a predicted model, not a curated record